This 556-nucleotide ribosomal RNA is filed under the name uncultured Glomus. Its description in RNAcentral is "SSU rRNA". It matches the Rfam family "Eukaryotic small subunit ribosomal RNA", at positions 569 to 1117 of the family's 1831-position model. Lineage: Eukaryota; Fungi; Glomeromycota; Glomeromycetes; Glomerales; Glomeraceae. The record is from RNAcentral.
AGCGGCCGCGGUAAUUCCAGCUCCAAUAGCGUAUAUUAAAGUUGUUGCAGUUAAAAAGCUCGUAGUUGAAUUUCGGGAUCAAAUUGUCGGUCGUGCCUCGGUACGCACUGGUAUUAUUGGUUCCUACCUUCUGAAGAACCGCGAUGUCAUUAAUUUGGUGUCGUGGGGAAUCAGGACUGUUACUUUGAAAAAAUUGAGUGUUUAAAGCAGGCUUACGCUUGAAUACAUUAGCAUGGAAUAAUGAAAUGGACGUUUGAUUCUAUUUUGUUGGUUUCUAGGAUUCGACGUAAUGAUUAAUAGGGAUAGUUGGGGGCAUUAGUAUUCAAUUGUCAGAGGUGAAGUUCUUGGAUUUAUUGAAGACUAACUACUUGCGAAAGCAUUUGCCAAGGAUGUUUUCAUUAAUCAAGAACGAAAGUUAGGGGAUUCGAAAGACGAUCAGAUACCGUCGUAGUCUUAACCNUAAACCUAUGCCGACUAGGGAUCGGAUGAUGUUAAUUUUUUAAUGGUAUCUAUUCGGCUACCUUUACGGGAAACCCUAAAGUGUUUUGGGUUACGG